CAAAAAAAUGCAGAAAAUGUUUUCCUGUAAAAUAUUUUCUAUGAAAAAACGAAGCCCAAGAUUUCUUUCUAACAUCUUUUGCACUUAUUAUUCUUUGUCUAUAAAUAGUUGUUCUGGACCUUUUUAUUCCUUUCACACUUCCAAUAAAAUUCCCAAAAAUUACUCCAAUAAUAUACCAUUAAUUAAAAAUCCCAAACAACAUCAAAUUUCUUAUUGUUUCACUUUCAAUUCACAAUGUGCAUUACAGAACUCUUUCCCUAGCUGCCAUAAUUCCAGCAGCUUUAAAGCUCCAUCAAUUUAAUUUCUCCUAAUUUCACCAUUUUCCAAUCACAUAACAUCACAUCCCAAAACCCUAAACCCAUUUUUUUUACCAAUAAUUUGCCUAUUUUACUAACUUGAGCUCAUAUUCAGACAUACAACAUGCCCUGCAUCAUUGUAUUCUUUUGCCUAUUUGAUAAUAGAAUUCUUAUACUGCAGCAUAUUAAGCUAUGCUCACAUAAAGUUAAAUUACAACUUCACCAUUUCUAUAUUCCCUUAGGCAGAUGAGAUGAUG
Molecule: unclassified non-coding RNA, 553 nt
Filed under: Hevea brasiliensis (rubber tree)
Lineage: Eukaryota; Viridiplantae; Streptophyta; Magnoliopsida; Malpighiales; Euphorbiaceae
Source: RNAcentral